Cynocephalus volans (Philippine flying lemur) is the source of this 122-nucleotide small nucleolar RNA. RefSeq annotates it as small nucleolar RNA SNORA57. NCBI's taxonomy places the organism in Eukaryota, Metazoa, Chordata, Mammalia, Dermoptera, Cynocephalidae. The transcript has a single exon. The record is from RefSeq and is a predicted model, not a curated record.
UCUCUUCCUGUUGCCCAUUAUGUAUGGAGGCAGAGGGGAAGGGCUCCGGCCCCUUCAGCGUCAUGUCUUUGGUGCCAGUGGGUUCCUGUCUGCCAGUUCUAUCCUCAAGCAUGGGGACGUGG